Molecule: RNA transcript, 2971 nt
Organism: Saccostrea cuccullata (small rock oyster)
Lineage: Eukaryota; Metazoa; Mollusca; Bivalvia; Ostreida; Ostreidae
Exons: 11
Source: RefSeq, a predicted model, not a curated record
UUUCAGAAGAAGAGAAUGACGUCAGGAAAGAUUUAAUGGUGGCAACAACAUUAGAAACUUGAAGAAGCAUUGUUUUUGUUAAAUAUGUAGACCCAGCGAGUCAUGUGGAGGUGGAUAUGUGGGAUCCCACGAGCGAUACGGCAGCACCUGCACAAUAAGAGACCUUACACCACCGCCUGUCUCGAUGAGGAACAGAACAAACAAGACCAGAACAGAGUUUGUCACGCUACAAGAAAAAAUAAUUUUCAUGGUAACCAUAGAAAUGACCAGGGAGGGGAGAGAGAGUGGUGGAAUAGCAAACCUCGAUGGAAUUGCUUCACUUCUUCAGACACACUAGGAGUCUUAGGUUUGGGUGCAGUCGUAUAUCUUAGCCUACAGAUAUCAAGAUGUCACCAGAAACUUCAAGAGAGGAAGGAGAAACCUGUACAUGCCAGGAAUUGUCUUCUGUCCCAGAUAUCACAGAUUGUACACUGUCUACCGGCCACUGCACGGAGGCUCGGGGACCGGAAAGGACAACUCCAGGAUAGCGGAAAGGCACCUUUAGAAGGGGAAAACAAAGAAGAUCCACUGGCAAAAGUGAUGAACGACUUUGAAAAUGUGGUACAGAAGUAUGUGGCUAUAGCUAAAAAUAUUCAAGCCCAAUGCAAGGCUAAAACAGGGGAGAUGACUGAGGCAGUGAGUAUGUGGAAGGAGGCUAGCGAUAUGGGUCACUCCAGAUCACAGUUCAACCUGGGCCUCAGCUACGAAACAGGUCAGGGGGUCACAAAGGAUGUAAGAAAGGCUGCAAAGUAUUACAAGUUAGCAGCAGCAGAAAAUCACCCACAGGCCACGUAUAAUCUGGCCCUGAUGUACCAGGAGGGGGAAGGGGUGACACAGAAUGAGGACAAAGCCAUCAGUCUUAUGGAGAGAGCAGCCGAACUAGGACUAGCUCAGGCUCAGACAUACCUUGGAGUCCAUUAUACAGAGCAAGAUUCUCAAGACUAUAGCAAGGCAGUGUCAAAAUUCAGUGAAGCUGCAAAACAAGAGUAUCCAGAGGCACAGUACUUCCUAGGAAUUUGCUAUGAGCAGGGAUGGGGUGUAGAAGUCAAUGAAUGCAAGGCGGCUCAUUUAUAUUCCCAGGCAGCUCAGUCCGGACACGAUGGAGCUCUGUACAAUCUAGCAGUGUUUCAUGAAUAUGGAGUAGGAGGAUUACCAGAAGAUAUGCUGUCUGCAGAGGAGCUGUACAGAAAAUCUGCCAAACUGGGAAACAAAAUGGCUGAAGAUAAAGUGAUGGAAAUUGAGGCAAAGAACGUGGUUAAACCAUGGAAGGGAGACUAUCCUAGCUGUAAAAUGGAUGAAUUCCUCUCUGAUUUAGAUCACUUCUCAGGUCAAAAUAAAAACAUCAGGGAAUCUGAAGUAAAAGAUCAAAGACCAAUCAUUCAUAAAGAACAAACAUCAGAGUUAAAGGGAGAUAACUCCAGAAAUUCUUUCCACUUGUCUUCCUCUUCUCCGUCUCUGACAGAGUAUGUCCGCCAACAUCUGUCUCAGCUACAAAUCGGAGCAGCCCCCGCCCCGGGUCUUCUCUCAGCCCUCCCCUCUCAGGACCUAAGCGGGGUCUGGAACCCUCAGUUUGGGAGCCCUAGAAUCUCCUCUCCUGUCGCUACUGCUUCCCCUGUUGUUUUCACCCUGGGGGAUGAAGAUGAGGAGUUGAUGACCGUUAAUAGCCUCAGUGCCACACAGACAGACAUACAGUUCCACAUCCUGGAGAAGAAUCAUCACUUCUGCUCCAUGAUACAGAAAAAUUCCACCAUGCCAGAUCUUCACAGUCAGGCAGUAUCCUGCGUUUGAUGACUUCUUACGUUUGUUAAAUGACUGAAAAUUUUCACAGGAUUUUUAAAAGAAAAUAUUAAAUGACAUUUAGUAUGCCUUUAAUUGCUCUUUUUCCCCCUUGAACAUCAUGUACAUAGUCAUUUUAAGCCCUGGAUUAAAAAAAAAAACAGUUUUGCCUCAAAGCUUCACCAUUUUAUUUUUUUUUUUAUUUUAUUUUUUUCCUAAACAGCUUUUGCAUAUUUUUUGUUUCUUUAUACAUGAACUGUUCACAUAAUUUUUGUAAUUCCAUAUCAUGGCACAUCUAUAAAAUUGUUCCAAAGCUCAAUUGAAUUUUCCUCUUCUCAUAAAUGGCUUUAUUGUGUUUAAGCAAUUCUUUGCCAUUUUUAGGCUUAGGCUUGGCAGUUUUUGGUGUAAUACAUUUCUGCUAUUGCAGCAAGUAUCUCUGUAAACAUUAUUGAGUGAUGUGUGUUAGAAUAGAAUUUUUGACUUAGUCAAUAGAUAUUUCUUCAUUGAUUGCUUAUAAAAGUGUAUUAAAAAUUCUCGAAAGAGACCAGUGUGCCAAUGUUAACUUCAUAGACAGCUUUAUUUAGACAUUCUGUUUUUAUUAUUUUUUAAUCUAAAUAUUUGAUAUUGAUUUAUGUAAUCAUCAAAUAAGGAAGAUAUUAUGUUGAAUCAGAUGUGUGAUUUUGAAUUCCAACUCAGACUUUAAAAACCAUAUGUUACAGUUCAGGUUUUAUUUUGUUAUAAUUUGUCAUAUUAUUCACAAUUUUGUUGUUCACAAAACUCAGUUUAUCAUAAUUCAUUCUACAAAUAUAUGUCAUUUAAGUAAUACUCCCUUCAUUGUAGAGAGAAAGUUAUGCAGUUGAUUUGGUAACCUGACAGAAUGUUAAUUGUUUUAACAUGUUUUGUGUUCAGUUGUUUUGUAGAGUUUGAGCAUAUAAUUGGUGCAUCAUUACUAUGUAAGAUGUCCAUUUUUUGUUUCACUAUAUGCAGUUACCAGUGUGCUCUGUACCAGCACAAUAAUCUCACCAAGCACUAACAUUAAACAGAGCUUGUUUUGUUUGUUUUUGUUUUGUAAAGGGGGGAGGGAAUAACCAAAUAAUGAAAUGUUCUUGUAUGAAAUGUACAAUGUAAUUUGUAAAUAAAAACACCAGAUUUGUUA